CUCUCUGGUCUGUAACUGACGCUGAGGCGCGAAAGCGUGGGGAGCAACCAGGAUUAGAUACCCUGGUAGUCCACGCCGUAAACGAUGAGUGUUAAGUGUUAGAGGGUUUCCGCCCUUUAGUGUUGCAGUUAACCCAUUAAGCAUUCCGCCUGGGGAGUACGGUGGCAGGAUUGAAACUCAAAAGGAAUGGACGGGGGCCCGCCCAAGGCGGUGGACCAUGUGGUUUAAUUGGAACCAACGCGGAGAACCCUUACCAGUGUCUGGACAUCCUUUUGCCACUCUCUAGAGAUAGGACGUUCCCCUUUCGGGGGACAGAGUGCCAGGUGGUGCAUGGUUGUCGUCAGCUCGUGUCGUGAGAUGUUGGGUUAAGUCCCGCAACGAGCGCAACCCUUGUUUUUAGUUGCCACCAUUUAGUUGGGCACUUUAAGGAGACUGCCGGUGCCAAACCGGAGGAAGGUGGGGAUGACGUCAAAUCAUCAUGCCCCUUAUGACUUGGGUUACACACGUGUUCCAAUGGACGGUACAAAGGGCAGCAAAACCGGGAGGUCGAGCCAAUCCCAUAAAACCGUUUUCAGUUCGGAUUGUAGGUUGCAAUUCGCUUC
RNAcentral lists this ribosomal RNA (602 nucleotides) under Sutcliffiella cohnii. Its description in RNAcentral is "bacterial SSU rRNA". It matches the Rfam family "Bacterial small subunit ribosomal RNA", at positions 725 to 1318 of the family's 1533-position model. Lineage: Bacteria; Bacillati; Bacillota; Bacilli; Caryophanales; Bacillaceae. The record is from RNAcentral.